Molecule: ribosomal RNA, 429 nt
Filed under: Pseudomonadota bacterium
Lineage: Bacteria; Pseudomonadati; Pseudomonadota
Description: Proteobacteria bacterium partial 16S ribosomal RNA
Rfam family: Bacterial small subunit ribosomal RNA
Source: RNAcentral
UGGGGAAUAUUGGACAAUGGGCGAAAGCCUGAUCCAGCCAUGCCGCGUGUGUGAAGAAGGUCUUCGGAUUGUAAAGCACUUUAAGUGGGGAGGAAGGGCAGUAAGCGAAUACCUUGCUGUUUUGACGUUACCGACAGAAUAAGCACCGGCUAACUCUGUGCCAGCAGCCGCGGUAAUACAGAGGGUGCAAGCGUUAAUCGGAAUUACUGGGCGUAAAGCGCGCGUAGGUGGUUCGUUAAGUUGAAUGUGAAAGCCCCGGGCUCAACCUGGGAACUGCAUCCAAAACUGGCGAGCUAGAGUAGGGCAGAGGGUGGUGGAAUUUCCUGUGUAGCGGUGAAAUGCGUAGAUAUAGGAAGGAACACCAGUGGCGAAGGCGACCACCUGGGCUCAUACUGACACUGAGGUGCGAAAGCGUGGGGAGCAAACAGG